Molecule: ribosomal RNA, 465 nt
Filed under: uncultured bacterium
Lineage: Bacteria
Description: partial 16S ribosomal RNA
Rfam family: Bacterial small subunit ribosomal RNA
Source: RNAcentral
GACGAACGCUGGCGGCGUGCUUAACACAUGCAAGUCGAACGGAAAGGCCCCUUUGGGGGUACUCGAGUGGCGCACGGGUGAGUAACACGUGAGUAACCUGCCCUUGACUUCGGGAUAACUUCAGGAAACUGGGGCUAAUACCGGAUAGGAAUCCUUGCUGCAUGGUGGGGGUUGGAAAGCUUCGGCGGUUUUGGAUGGACUCGCGGCUUAUCAGCUUGUUGGUGGGGUAGUGGCUUACCAAGGCUUUGACGGGUAGCCGGCCUGAGAGGGUGACCGGCCACAUUGGGACUGAGAUACGGCCCAGACUCCUACGGGAGGCAGCAGUGGGGAAUAUUGCACAAUGGGCGGAAGCCUGAUGCAGCAACGCCGCGUGCGGGAUGACGGCCUUCGGGUUGUAAACCGCUUUCAGCAGGGGCGAAGCUUGUGGUGACGGUACCUGCAGAAGAAGCACCGGCUAACUACGUG